RNAcentral lists this ribosomal RNA (368 nucleotides) under uncultured bacterium. Its description in RNAcentral is "bacterial SSU rRNA". It matches the Rfam family "Bacterial small subunit ribosomal RNA", at positions 28 to 381 of the family's 1533-position model. The record is from RNAcentral.
GAUGAACGCUAGCUACAGGCUUAACACAUGCAAGUCGAGGGGCAGCAUGACGGAAGCUUGCUUUCGUUGAUGGCGACCGGCGCACGGGUGAGUAACGCGUAUCCAACCUGCCCUUGUCCAUCGGAUAACCCGUCGAAAGGCGGACUAACACGAUAUGCAGUUCUCAGCAGGCAUCUAACGAGAACGAAAUGUGAAGGAGAAGGGAUGGGGGAUGCGUCUGAUUAGCUUGUUGGCGGGGUAACGGCCCACCAAGGGCGACGAUCAGUAGGGGUUCUGAGNGGAAGGUCCCCCCACAUUGGGAAACUGAGCACGGUCCAAAACUCCUACGGGGAGGCAGCAGUGAGGAAUAUUGGGUCAAUGGGCGAGAG